GAUGAACGCUGGCGGCGUGCUUAACACAUGCAAGUCGAACGAUGAAGCCCAGCUUGCUGGGUGGAUUAGUGGCGAACGGGUGAGUAACACGUGAGUAACCUGCCCUUAACUCUGGGAUAAGCCUGGGAAACUGGGUCUAAUACCGGAUAGGAGCGCCUACCGCAUGGUGGGUGUUGGAAAGAUUUAUCGGUUUUGGAUGGACUCGCGGCCUAUCAGCUUGUUGGUGAGGUAAUGGCUCACCAAGGCGACGACGGGUAGCCGGCCUGAGAGGGUGACCGGCCCAACGGGGACGAGGAAACGGCCCAGACCCCUCCGGGGGGAAGCGGGGGGGAAUAUUCCACAAGGGGCGAAAGCCUGAUGCAGCGACGCCGGGGGGGGGAGGACGGCCUUCGGGUUGUAAACCUUUUUCAGUAGGGAAGAAGCGAAAGGGGCGGUACCGGCAGAAGAAGCACCGGCUAACUACGG
This 465-nucleotide ribosomal RNA is filed under the name uncultured bacterium. RNAcentral's name for it is "partial 16S ribosomal RNA". It matches the Rfam family "Bacterial small subunit ribosomal RNA", at positions 28 to 506 of the family's 1533-position model. The record is from RNAcentral.